Molecule: long non-coding RNA, 591 nt
Filed under: Olea europaea subsp. europaea
Lineage: Eukaryota; Viridiplantae; Streptophyta; Magnoliopsida; Lamiales; Oleaceae
Source: RNAcentral
UUCUUGUUCAUUGAAUUCACUGUUUUUGGCUUAAAAAAUGAAGCUCGACCUUCAUGUUUAUUUGAUUGUCGAAAAUUUUAUGCAGUUGAUCUGGAUGGAGCAUUAUUUUCACUGUUUAUGCAGUUGAUCCGGAUGGAGCAUGUACUGCUAUCCAAUUCAUGACAUUUUGCAACAUAAACUCCUUUUUAACAGAGGUAUUUUAUUUGUCAGCCUACUGUCUUGUGUGUUUCAUCAUUUGUCAACUGGUUUGAUGUCUUUAAUUGUUUGACCCAAAUAAAAGCUUGAUUUCAAGUCAUCAAUUUUACUCCAAAAUGAAUACUUCCCUUUAACAUUGUCGAUAUUUUAAUGGAAAUUUUAAAUGUGCAGAUUUUUUUCCUUCACAUUUUUUAUUCGUAUUCCGAAUUCAACUUGUAUUAAUAUUGGUUGUAACAACUUGAGAUGUGAAUUGCACUGCGAAUUGAGAUUGUGAAAUUGUGAAUUUAUGAUUCUUUUGUCAUUAUGAAUUAUUCUCACUCACUCCCAGUAAUAAUUGGAUAUCAAAUGUUUAAAUUCAGAUAUGAAAUGAAUAGAUACUUUCAACGAAAAAGGAAC